AGCCGUGCGAGUUAGGGUGGGCUGGGUCCAACCCGGCCCACUGGCCACCUCUGAGUACACGUAAUACUAGUAUCCUAUUAUCUUAGAGUAGUACACUAAUUAUCUUAGACUACACUUCUUAACAAAAAAAAAAAAAAAAAUUAGAGUAGAGUAGUAGCACUGCAGCAUAGCAGUUUCGUCUUCCUCCUCCAAAAACCCAAACCCUUGAACUUCUAUGGUUUCCCUCCCAAGUUUUUCACCACCUAAUUAGAGGCGAUCGUUUUUAAGAUUGUGUCCAUCAUCAUCUACUUUGUAAGGCCGCCACCGUCGUCUAGUUUACAAGGCCGCCACCAUCUGAAGCGUACUCGGGUCACGACUAUCAACCACUCUAUUUCAAGCGAUUGUACAAAGUAUGCAUUGGAGGUUAGCUGUGUUAUUAGUCCUUGGAAUGGACUAGUGUGCUGGUUAGAUCUGGCCGGGGAAGAAAACGAGAUCAAUGAGUUUGCUAAAAAGAUCAUAAAUGAGGGAUUAAAAAAAUUCAGCAUGGUCCAUCGAAAGGACAUUAAGAAGAUAAAAAAGGAUCCAUAUAUUGAGUGGAAGCAACCUAAGUGUCCUCGACAACCUCAAUACUCCAAAGUUUGUGGAUACUAUGUUUGUCGCUAUACGCUUGAGAUUAUAAAGAAAAGUGUAUUGUGGGUUUCUGAUAAGCGGACCCUGUACGUAUUCAACUGAAAAUAUUGACGAAAUUAGAGACUUGUGGGCUAAGUAUGUUCUAGAGCUUGAACAAGAAGAUGUUAAUGAAGGAAAUGAAGAUGGUAUAGACAUUGAGUGAGUUUAUUUUGUCCAUUACUUUUGGGAAAAGUAUUGCGAUUUUUAGAAUUUUUUGUAUAGUACUUUUGGAGCUUAUCUUAGAUAGUAUGGAAAUUAAAUGAGUGGUUUAAAUUUUUGGGGAAUACUGGAUUUUUUUUCUGCAGAUGUUGUUGUAUAGUAUUUUUGGAGGUUAUACUAUAAUUAUUGAAUAUUUGUAAAAGUGUUUAUCAACUUUUGUUUAUUAUUGUAUGUUCCAUGAAUAUUAUAAAAUUAUGGAGUAAUGUAUAUGAUGUGCAUAUAUAUAGCAGGUGAAAAAUAUAGGUAAAAAUAUCCUAUAGGUGUCAUACAGGAACAAAUACAACUCAUAUACCGUACACGAACAAAUACAAAUAUAAUUGGAUUUUGGGAAA
This is a long non-coding RNA of Chenopodium quinoa (quinoa), 1199 nucleotides long. RefSeq lists it as uncharacterized. Lineage: Eukaryota; Viridiplantae; Streptophyta; Magnoliopsida; Caryophyllales; Amaranthaceae. The transcript has 5 exons. The record is from RefSeq and is a predicted model, not a curated record.